UUUCAUAGUCGAACAGACUAGCUUACUUAGCUACUACGCUAGGCAGCGCCUUUAAUUCAACAUCGAGGUCACAAGAUCUUUUAUCGAUUAGGCCUCUCUAAAAGCAUUGUGCUGUUAUCCCUGAGGUAACUACUCUUUAACUUGCUAAAGAUCUUAGUAUCGACUGCUAUGAGCGGCUUAUUAAUUAGAUGUUAUUACUUUACCGCCCCAGUUUGACCCAACAGCAACGAAACCCCAAAUUGUUUGAGCUUGAGUUCAUCUCUAAGUCAGCUCUGCAGGGUCUUAUCUUCCCGUUGGUGGGACUUGAAGUUUUAAUCAAGACCUUAAGUUGUACCGUUACGGACUUACAAAUCGUCUUUCAUGAACCCCUUCAUUCUAGACCCCAAUUAAGAGCCAAAUUAUUAUGCUACCUUUGCACAGUUCAGG
Molecule: ribosomal RNA, 426 nt
Filed under: Cytherissa tuberculata
Lineage: Eukaryota; Metazoa; Arthropoda; Ostracoda; Podocopida; Cytherideidae
Description: partial small subunit ribosomal RNA
Source: RNAcentral